RNAcentral lists this ribosomal RNA (322 nucleotides) under uncultured eukaryote. RNAcentral describes it as "partial 18S ribosomal RNA". It matches the Rfam family "Eukaryotic small subunit ribosomal RNA", at positions 1470 to 1796 of the family's 1831-position model. The record is from RNAcentral.
CCCUUAGAUGUUCUGGGCCGCACACGUGCUACACUGAGUGGAUCAGCGGGUCAGGUUGCGCGAAAGCGUUUCCUAAUCUUUAAAUCCGCUCGUGAUGGGGAUUGACGGUUGCAAUUUUCUGUCAUGAACGAGGAAUACCUUGUAAGCGCGGGUCAUCAUCCCGCGCUGAAUACGUCCCUGCCCUUUGUACACACCGCCCGUCGCUCCUACCGAUUGGGUGGUCCGGUGAGGCUUUGGGAUCUGAGCGGAAAGAGCGUUUCGCUGUUUCUGCUCGGAAAACUCAGUCGAACCUUAUCAUUUAGAGGAAGGAGAAGUCGUAACA